Molecule: ribosomal RNA, 695 nt
Filed under: uncultured bacterium
Lineage: Bacteria
Description: bacterial SSU rRNA
Rfam family: Bacterial small subunit ribosomal RNA
Source: RNAcentral
AGAGUUUGAUCCUGGCUCAGAACGAACGCUGGCGGCAGGCCUCAAACAUGCAAGUCUAGGGGGUGUAGCAAUACAUCACCGGCGGACGGGUGCGUAACGCGUGGGAAUAUACCUAUUGGUUCGGAACAACUGAGGGAAACUUCAGCUAAUACCGAAUGUGCCCUAACGGGGAAAGAUUUAUCGCCAAUGGAUUAGCCCGCGUUCGAUUAGCUAGUUGGUGGGGUAACGGCCCACCAAGGCGACGAUCGAUAGCUGUUCUGAGAGGAAGAUCAGCCACACUGGGACUGAGACACGGCCCAGACUCCUACGGGAGGCAGCAGUUGGGAAUCUUGGACAAUGGGGGAAACCCUGAUCCAGCCAUGCCGCGUGAGUGAUGAAGGCCUUCGGGUUGUAAAACUCUUUCGCGCACGACGAUAAUGACGGUAGUGCGAGAAGAAGCUCCGGCUAACUUCGUGCCAGCAGCCGCGGUAAUACGAAGGGGGCUAGCGUUGUUCGGAAUUACUGGGCGUAAAGCGCGCGCAGGCGGCUAUCCAAGUCAGUGGUGAAAGCCCGGAGCUCAACUCCGGAACUGCCAUUGAAACUGUUUAGCUUGAGUAUGAGAGAGGUGAGUGGAAUUCCCAGUGUAGAGGUGAAAUUCGUAGAUAUUGGGAAGAACACCGGUGGCGAAGGCGGCUCACUGGCUCAUUACUGACGCU